Molecule: long non-coding RNA, 1852 nt
Organism: Pseudopipra pipra
Lineage: Eukaryota; Metazoa; Chordata; Aves; Passeriformes; Pipridae
Exons: 2
Source: RefSeq, a predicted model, not a curated record
GAGGUCUUGCCGGCAGCUCCGUCCUCCUCGCUGCUCUGGGCGCCCAAGAGGUGACUCGCUUCGGGGGGAAUGGGGAACGAGCGGGAGGUGUUGAUCUUCCCGCUGAACCGCUGCAUGCUACACGCGGGUGAGGAUCAGUCCCACGUCAGUGGAAGGAAGAACGAGGAAUCCUGCUCCCCGGUCCUCUGCACCGGCACCCGGAAAGAAGCGGGGGGGGGGGGGGGGGGGGGAGAUCGAGAGAGCAGAGACGGGGGGAGUGAGGGGGGGAAGAAGAGAGAAGAUAGACAAAUAAAUAAUAAAACGCAAUCGAGCCGUAACACCACAGGCCCCGGGAAUGCUGCACCAUCCAGUGCUGGGAAGGAAAAAAAAAGAUAAAAGAGAAGAAAAAAAAAGAACCAAAACACUCCACGAAGACGUACCCCCGAUAAUGGCGCCUGAGUGGAUCAGCAUUAAAUGUGCUUUGGGGGUGUGCGUGUGUGUUUGCAAAAGCAGGUGGAAAAAAAAAGGAAGGGGGGCUGGCUCAAUCGCUCGCUGUCAGCGGCUCCCCAGGCAGAGGUGGCGGAGCAGUCGCCUCCGAGGUCGCAUACCAACAGUGUGCACAAGCGAGAGGCAGAGUGACAGAGUGUGUGAGACGGAGUGGAAGAGGCUGGGAAGCCUCAUUCAAAGCACGUUGCUCUUCUGGGGAAGGAGGGCUCUUCUACAACCAUAUCCUUUUCGGCACCUUUUUUUUUUUUCUGCCUGUUUUUUUUUUUUCCCGGGGAAACAACUCAAAAAAAAAAAAAAAAAAAAAAAAAAAGGCAACAGACACCUGAUCGCCAGCCGUGAGAGAGAGAGAAAAAGAGGUGGGGAGGGGGCAGGCGAGGCGGGGAGGAGGGAGGCGGGACCGGCAGCUGGAGGGGCUCCGGGAUGCCGAUGUGCGCGGAGCGGCUCGGCCCCGGGGAGGGGGCGAGGGAAGGGCGGGUGAAGCCUCCCCGCUGCCCUGCCCUGCCCAGCGGCCGCGGGCACAUCCCAGCCCGGCAAGCGGGCAGUGCCCAUCCCCGUCCCCUCCGCCCGUCCUCCUCCUUCCAACCACGGUCGAGGAAAGGAGGGAGAAGGGAGGGUUGCGGGGUGGCUUUUUUUGGGAGGUGGUUGUUGUCGUCGCUUUUUUAAAAGAUUCUGGUAAAUCGUGUCUCUCUUACUAUUUUUGUAUUAAUUCAUUUUUUGCUGCAUUAAAACGUGCUUCAGCGCCCCUCAGUGGAAAUCCGCCCAAAGCGGCACCGGCUGGGGAUAAACAACCGCGGUCCCGGCGCCGGGGAUGGAUCCGGGAUUGGGCUGAGCUGGGCUGGGCUGGGGUUGGGGUCGGGGUCGGGUCCAGGGCCGACUGGGACUCGCCCGCCGCCGCGGCCCUUGCGCGGGAGCGCCGGGAUCCGCUCCCUGGGCCCGGGAAGCGCGGCCGCCGAUCAACGCUCCCGGCAGGGACAGCGGGAAUGUGCUCGGCCACGCUCCCGGGCUUGGGCUCGGGGUCCAGCCCCCGCCAGCCCAGCACGGCUGCGUCGGGAUAGAGGGUGACAAUUCCUGUUGCUCCAGCAUCAAGCUCCGUGGUUUCCAUAGCAACGAAUGCUUAGGUUUAAAGGAAAGUGGCAGAGUUGCUGUCCCCUAUUUCUGCUCCCCGAAAUCCUCCUCUUUGACCUCUAAAUUUACCAGAGAUUUUGGGAUUACAACACACAAAGCAUAAACCAGCUUUUGCCCAUUCCCAUUGAGAGACUUGCUGCUGAAGAGCUCACAAACUUGAGUAUACUUUAACCGGUGGAUUUGAUGGGCUGAAAUGUUUCUAAACAUUUUCUUGAUUAAAGUUUUAGCUGUCAAGAUAAUA